Molecule: non-coding RNA, 1165 nt
Organism: Chelonoidis abingdonii (Abingdon island giant tortoise)
Lineage: Eukaryota; Metazoa; Chordata; Testudines; Testudinidae
Source: RefSeq, a predicted model, not a curated record
UUCUGCUACCAGACUUGGAGAUGAUAUAGAUUCUCUCUCUGUUCUCCUGUUCAGGCUAUUUAUUAACAAGGUUCAGAUUCAAGUUCUUCUAGCCCAAUAUACUACUCUAUAAACUUGUUUUCCUAAAAAGGUCAAUUCUCCCUACAAAAAUUUAACCCUGAUCAACUAAAAACUUUAGAGAGCUAAUAAUUUAUCCACGUUGGCCUGUAUCAAAUUUUAAAAAGCUGACUGUAGCGCCAUGCACCUGAAGGCUGCUUUUAAGUGACUGAUCUAAAGGCUCUGAGAUACACCACCUUUCCGAGGCAGCAGUAGCUGCGGACUACUGCUCAUGCUUUUGUUUCUGUUAAGAACCACACCAAAUCCAGAGUCAGACAGAAAGGAAAUGUAAUAGGAAGAACAAAAGGAAGGGAAAUAUAAACAAAACAAUGAAAAAAAAACAGAAGAAGAACAAGAUAAACAGAAAAUGAUUCAAAAUAACAAGAAUAACUGGUUAUAUGGCUUGCAGGUUGUGGCUUCAAAUUAUUUUUUUGUUUUGCUGGGAAGGAGUAGGUAUUCUGGGUUGUUUUCAUGUAUUUUGGGGAAUAUUCCUUUGAGAGGCCAUUCAUGUAACUUCAAAGCAGGAUUCAAUCUCAAUAAGUGAACAGUACAACAACAGCUAAAAAGAUGAGGAGCAACAUAGAACUCAAUUCACACCAGGAAUUAUGGGAGUCUCACAAGAAAUGCUAACCGAAAAAACCCACCAAGCCAACAAAAAUAAUUUCUCCUUUUUUUCCUCCCACUCCCACCCCGCACCCUUCACCGCCCAUUUUGGAGCCACAAACAAAAAAGGAUAGUUUCAGAAUGUUUCUCUUGCCAGAUAUACGCAGGACAAAAAAGAAUUAGGCACACCACUAAAGCAUCUCACAGACCAAAAUUUAGUGGCCAAAGUGACUCUGAAAGUCAAGCCACACAACAGAGUUUUUCUACAGAAAGUGCUAAAACCAGUAUCACACCAUGUGAUUCAUUUGACAAAGUUCAUCAAACUCUCAGAUAAAGUGAGCUGAGCUUUACAAAAAAGAAAAGAAAUGACAGAAUGCAUUUCGAACUAAUUCCACUGGAUACACCAGAACAGUUAAGUGACUCGGCAAUGAAUGACAAAAGGAAAGGAACAGAAGAAAGGAUUUGU